UACAGAGGUCUCAAGCGUUGUUCGGAAUUACUGGGCGUAAAGGGUGCGCAGGCCGCGCGGGCAGUCAAAUGUGUAAUUCAGGGGCUCAACCUCUGGACUGCGCUUGAUACUUCCGUGCUCGAACCUUGGAGAGGGAUCUGGAAUUCUCGGUGUAGCAGUGAAAUGCGUGGAUAUCGAGAAGAACACCUAGGGCGAAAGCAAGAUCCUGGACAAGUGUUGACGCUCAUGCACGAAGGCUAGGGGAGCGAACGGG
This 253-nucleotide ribosomal RNA is filed under the name uncultured bacterium. Its description in RNAcentral is "partial 16S ribosomal RNA". It matches the Rfam family "Bacterial small subunit ribosomal RNA", at positions 524 to 776 of the family's 1533-position model. The record is from RNAcentral.